UACGGAGGAUGCAAGCGUUAUCCGGAAUGAUUGGGCGUAAAGCGUCCGCAGGUGGCUAUGUAAGUCUGCUGUUAAAGAGUGAGGCUCAACCUCAUAAGAGCAGUGGAAACUACAUGGCUAGAGUGCGUUCGGGGCAGAGGGAAUUCCUGGUGUAGCGGUGAAAUGCGUAGAGAUCAGGAAGAACACCGGUGGCGAAAGCGCUCUGCUAGGCCGCAACUGACGCUCAGGGACGAAAGCUAGGGGAGCGAAUGGG
RNAcentral lists this ribosomal RNA (253 nucleotides) under uncultured bacterium. RNAcentral describes it as "partial 16S ribosomal RNA". It matches the Rfam family "Bacterial small subunit ribosomal RNA", at positions 524 to 776 of the family's 1533-position model. The record is from RNAcentral.